GGGUUGUGAGGUUAAGCGACUAAGCGUACACGGUGGAUGCCCAGGCAGUCAGAGGCGAUGAAGGACGUGCUAAUCUGCGUAAAGCGACGGUAAGGUGAUAUGAACCGCUACAGCCGUCGAUGUCCGAAUGGGGAAACCCGGUGCACUCUGUGCAUCAUUGCAGCAUGAAUACAUAGUGCUGCAAGGCGAACCGGGGGAACUGAAACAUCUAAGUACCCCGAGGAAAAGAAAUCAACCGAGAUUCCCCCAGUAGCGGCGAGCGAACGGGGAGCAGCCCAGAGCCUGAAUCAGUUUGUGUGUUAGUGGAAGCGUCUGGAAAGUCGCAGGGUACAGGGUGAUACUCCCGUACACAAAAGCACACAUGCUGUGAGCUCGAUGAGUAAGGCGGGACACGUGGUAUCCUGUCUGAAUAUGGGGGGACCAUCCUCCAAGGCUAAAUACUCCUGACUGACCGAUAGUGAACCAGUACCGUGAGGGAAAGGCGAAAAGAACCCCGGCGAGGGGAGUGAAACAGAACCUGAAACCGUGUACGUACAAGCAGUGGGAGCCUUGAUUUAUCAGGGUGACUGCGUACCUUUUGUAUAAUGGGUCAGCGACUUAUAUUCUGUAGCAAGGUUAACCGUAUAGGGGAGCCGCAGGGAAACCGAGUCUUAACUGGGCGUUAAGUUGCAGGGUAUAGACCCGAAACCCGGUGAUCUAGCCAUGGGCAGGUUGAAGGUUGGGUAACACUAACUGGAGGACCGAACCGACUAAUGUUGAAAAAUUAGCGGAUGACCUGUGGCUGGGGGUGAAAGGCCAAUCAAACCGGGAGAUAGCUGGUUCUCCCCGAAAGCUAUUUAGGUAGCGCCUCGUGAACUCAUCUUCGGGGGUAGAGCACUGUUUCGGCUAGGGGGCCAUCCCGGCUUACCAACCCGAUGCAAACUGCGAAUACCGAAGAAUGUUAUCACGGGAGACACACGGCGGGUGCUAACGUCCGUCGUGAAGAGGGAAACAACCCAGACCGCCAGCUAAGGUCCCAAAGUCAUGGUUAAGUGGGAAACGAUGUGGGAAGGCACAGACAGCCAGGAUGUUGGCUUAGAAGCAGCCAUCAUUUAAAGAAAGCGUAAUAGCUCACUGGUCGAGUCGGCCUGCGCGGAAGAUGUAACGGGGCUAAACCAUGCACCGAAGCUGCGGCAGCGACGCUUAUGCGUUGUUGGGUAGGGGAGCGUUCUGUAAGCCGUCGAAGGUGUGCUGUGAGGCAUGCUGGAGGUAUCAGAAGUGCGAAUGCUGACAUAAGUAACGAUAAAGCGGGUGAAAAGCCCGCUCGCCGGAAGACCAAGGGUUCCUGUUCAACGUUAAUCGGAGCAGGGUGAGUCGACCCCUAAGGCGAGGCCGAAAGGCGUAGUCGAUGGGAAACAGGUUAAUAUUCCUGUACUCG
This 1417-nucleotide ribosomal RNA is filed under the name Pantoea agglomerans. RNAcentral describes it as "bacterial LSU rRNA". It matches the Rfam family "Bacterial large subunit ribosomal RNA", at positions 1 to 1447 of the family's 2925-position model. Lineage: Bacteria; Pseudomonadati; Pseudomonadota; Gammaproteobacteria; Enterobacterales; Erwiniaceae. The record is from RNAcentral.